AUACGGAGGAUCCGAGCGUUAUCCGGAUUUAUUGGGUUUAAAGGGAGCGUAGGCGGACGCUUAAGUCAGUUGUGAAAGUUUGCGGCUCAACCGUAAAAUUGCAGUUGAUACUGGGUGUCUUGAGUACAGUAGAGGCAGGCGGAAUUCGUGGUGUAGCGGUGAAAUGCUUAGAUAUCACGAAGAACUCCGAUUGUGAAGGCAGCCUGCUGGACUGUAACAGACGCUGAUGCUCUAAAGUGUGGGUAUCAAACAGGAUUAGAUACCCUGGUAGUCCACACAGUAAACGUUGAAUACUCGCUGUUUGCGAUAUACAGUAAGCGGCCAAGCGAAAGCAUUAAGUAUUCCACCUGGGGAGUACGCCGGCAACGGUGAAACUCAAAGGACUUGGCGGGG
This 393-nucleotide ribosomal RNA is filed under the name uncultured bacterium. Its description in RNAcentral is "partial 16S ribosomal RNA". It matches the Rfam family "Bacterial small subunit ribosomal RNA", at positions 523 to 918 of the family's 1533-position model. The record is from RNAcentral.